AGAAGCGUCUUCCGCGCCGGACCGUGCACNNNNCUCCUGGAAUGGAGCAUCAUAGAGGGUGAGAAUCCCGUCUUUGGCAUGGAAACCCCGGGGCUCUGUGAUGCGCUCUCGAAGAGUCGAGUUGUUUGGGAAUGCAGCUCAAAAUGGGUGGUGAACUCCAUCUAAAGCUAAAUAUUGGCGAGAGACCGAUAGCGAACAAGUACCGUGAGGGAAAGAUGAAAAGCACUUUGGAAAGAGAGUGAAACAGUACGUGAAAUUGUUGAAAGGGAAACACUUGAAGUCAGUCGCGUUGACCAAGACUCAGCCUCGCCCUCGGCUUGKCGUACUUCUUGGCUGACGGGCCAGCAUCGAUUUUGUCCCUCGGACAAUGGCAAGGGAAAGGUGGCACCCUUUAUGGGUGUGUUAUAGUCCUCUGUCGCAUACGAGGGAUGGGAUCGAGGAACUCGGCACAUGCUUAGGAUGCUGGCGUAAUGGCUUUAAAUGACCCGUCUUGAAACACGGACCAAGGAGUCUAACAUGCCUGCAAGUGUUCGGGUGGAAAACCCGUGCGCGAAAUGAAAGUGAAAGUUGGGACCUCUGUCGUGGAGGGCACCGACGCCCGGACCAGACCUUCUGUGACGGAUCUGCGGUAGAGCAUGCAUGUUGGGACCCGAAAGAUGGUGAACUAUGCCUGAAUAGGGUGAAGCCAGAGGAAACUCUGGUGGAGGCUCGUAGCGAUUCUGACGUGCAAAUCGAUCGUCAAAUUUGGGUAUAGGGGC
Molecule: ribosomal RNA, 758 nt
Filed under: Lactifluus multiceps
Lineage: Eukaryota; Fungi; Basidiomycota; Agaricomycetes; Russulales; Russulaceae
Description: partial large subunit ribosomal RNA
Source: RNAcentral